This 492-nucleotide ribosomal RNA is filed under the name uncultured bacterium. RNAcentral's name for it is "partial 16S ribosomal RNA". It matches the Rfam family "Bacterial small subunit ribosomal RNA", at positions 29 to 507 of the family's 1533-position model. The record is from RNAcentral.
AGUGAACGCUGGCGGUAGGCCUAACACAUGCAAGUCGAACGGCAGCACAGUAAGAGCUUGCUCUUACGGGAGGCGAGUGGGGGAGGGGUGAAGAAUACAUCGGAAUCUACUUUUUCGUGGGGGAUAACGUAGGGAAACUAACGCUAAUACCGUAUACUACCUACGGGUGAAAGCAGGGGAUUUGCGGACCUUGCGCGCUUGUAUGAGCCGAUGUGGGAUUAGCUAGUUGGUGGGGUAACGUCCCACCAAGGCGACGAUCCGUAGCUGGUCUGAGAGGAUGACCAGCCACACUGGAACUGAGACACGGUCCAGACUCCUACGGGAGGCAGCAGUGGGGAAUAUUGGACAAUGGGCGCAAGCCUGAUGCAGCCAUGCCGCGUGGGUGAAGAAGGCCUUCGGGUUGUAAAGCCCUUUUGUUGGGAAAGAAAAGAAGCAGGUUAAUACCCCGCUGUUCUGACGUUACCCAAAGAAUAAGCACCGGCUAACUUCGUG